Molecule: long non-coding RNA, 1113 nt
Filed under: Vulpes vulpes (red fox)
Lineage: Eukaryota; Metazoa; Chordata; Mammalia; Carnivora; Canidae
Description: lncRNA (ENSVVUG00000003640.1)
Source: RNAcentral
UAGGAAUUAAAUGAAUUGUUUUAUUUGUAGUUAUUAAUGAGAAAUGAAAAAUAGUUAUUAGUUUUAUUUACUCCUCCUUCUACUCUAGAUUAGAUCAGGAAUCCUCACACAAAAAUAUUACAGUGAUCCUAUAUACAAAACUCUAAGCAGUGAACAAGAGGCACAAUGCUUCAGCUAAUAAGACCUUUGGCAGCACAAAGUCAUGGAGGCCUUAUGAGAGGAGUCAUCACUAAGAAAAUAAAGUAUAGAGGGAGAUUGGUAACUUUGGCAGCAGUAUUUGGUAUGAAAGGUAGAUUAAUGAGAUUAAGUUAAGGAAAAGAUGAAGUAUUUGAGGGAGAUAUAACAAAUAUUGGCUCUAGAAUAAGAAGACAAUGUAAAGCCAUAAUCAAAAAAGAACAAAAUACCUUUUGGGGGGAUGGAAUUGGAGUCCAAUGACAGAGUACUAGGAUAAGCAAAUCUGAUCAAAUAUGAAUAAAUUCUGAAUUCAUUACUUACUGAUAAAAAGACUUGUUCAAAAUCUGUAUGCCUGAUUCAUAAAUCUGUAUAGAUGCUAUAUUGGCCUCUAGGUUCUCAAAACUCCCAAACUUUUCCCCAUUUCUGAAGGCAAUAUCCAUUUUCUCAUUUAUUUCUCCUACCUUACUUCGUUUCUUCCCCUUCCACCAUUUAAGUUCUCCAAUAUCUGUUUAAUCAGUCUCUUAGAUUAAAUGUUCUCUGUUGCGAUAGCUAAUGUAGUUUGUUUUUCUAACUAAACUGUCACUGAUACCAAUCCUCCUUCAUUCUUCAUUCUCUUCUCAGUUACCUCAAGAAAAGACAAAGCAAGAUUCUGAUGCGUUUGUGGUGGCUCACUCAACUCUCUUCAAUCUACCUGAUAAUCCUGAGAGAACCCAAUUCAUGGCAAAGGCAUUCGGGGCCAGAAUCAAUAUGACCAGAGUGGGAGUCACAAGUGGAGAACACGUUUAUGCUGAAUAUAUGUAUGACUCGUAUCUUACUGUGUCAUUGUCAACUUCUUCUUCAUGUGUCUCAUGUAAGUGUAUCCUGGAUGUUUGUUACUUCUUGGUCUUUUUUUCUGUCAGUUUGGUACCGACAUACUCUACUUAUAUUAUUUAUGUUUAA